AUGAGUCUACACUGCCAUAUGAUCCCAUUCAAUGCAGAUAAGAUGGAUUUUAUAUGGCAGUGUAGAUCAGUGGUUCUCAACCUGGGGUACCCGGAUGAUUUUCCUUGGUUCACCGAGGAACUUCGAUCGUUUGGGGAAUCACAGAACAGGUCUUCACUCUUCUUUGUGACAGCCUUCACCAUGUCAUCACCCCCAGCCUUCUCUCUACCAAGCUGAAUAUGCCCAGCUUCUUCAAUGUUUCUUCAUGUGUUCUCCAUGUGUGUUAUCAUCCUUGUUGCUCUUCUCUGAACCUUCUCUCACUUGUCUAUAUCCUUCUUAACAUAAGAACCAAAUACCAUUCUCUAGAGGAGGGCUGACCAGAACCGAAUAUGGUGGGACUUUGAAACUAUGUUUCUCUUAAUGAUGGCUAAAACAGUAUUUGUCUUUGCUGCAUCAUCAUACUACUGCCUUCUAUUCAACUUAUAGCCAACAAUAAUCCUGAGGUCCCUUUUGGGGAUGCAGUUUCCUGAAUUCUAUGUGUGUUCAUUUGAUUUUGUGGCUUAAAAUUUACACUUGUCUCUAUUGAAUUUCCGUCCAAUUUGCUAGUUCUCUAAGGUUGUAUUAAAAUCUUCUCUUAUCUUGCAACAUUUUAAGCACACCUCCCAGUUUUGUAUCUUCUACAGACCUGAGAAGAAUUCAUUUCUCCUCAUCAUCUUCUUAAUAAUUGGGGAAGGAUAAUGGCCUUAGCUCAGAACCUUGUGGAACUGUAUUGAAGACCUCCUUCUAGUUUGAACUGCAGCUAUUGAUUAAUGUUUAUGUUUGAGCAUGGUUUUCCAACUAUUUAUGAAUCCAUCUGAUGGGGUUUCCACUGAUUCCAUAUUUAAUCAGUUUGCUAAUAAAAAUAUGGUAGGGGAGCAAUUCAAACGCUUUGUUGAAAUCCAGCUAAAUGGCAUUCACAGCAAUCCCAGCUUCUUUUAAAUUUGUGACAUAUCUUAGAAAGACAUAAAAUUAGUAUAAGAGGAUUUCAUAUUGAUUAUGGAGUGGCUCCUAAUGACCAUUGCAUUGUGGAGAAGAUACUUGCAGAGAGACUCCUGUACAAUCAGUUGUCCUAGCCAGUGUCAACUCAUUUUGAGCUUUACAUUUUCAUACACUACUCCUGCAAGUCUCAUUUUUAUGUUUCCUUGAGGAUUCACCCUUCUUUCCAUUCUUUAUACAUGAUUUUUUUCCCCUUCCUCCUUGAGUUGUGCAGCCACAUUGGCUUUUUCAAGUGUUCCCCAUUUUAAUUCUUCCAUUGAAUGGUUAGUGAGUUCAGUUUUCACUACUCCUUCUUCAUGAAAUCCCUCCAAGCUGGGUGUCUUUUCCCUUUUCCAUCUCUAGCCAUGGGAUUCUGCCCUGUAUUUUUCUGACCUUGAUAAAAUCAGCUUUCCAGAAAUCCUAACUUCUCUUUUGUCCUCUUUGUCCUCUCACUGCCCAACAAAGCCCGCCUACAUUCAACUUAAUCUCAUAACCUAUUGCCUCCCUUUCUCUAUUAUCCUCUUUUUCCUCUUACCUCCCAACCCCAUAAAUCCAACAAAAGCAAGCUGCUACAGCCUCUCCUAACAUGUGUAUUACUCCUCAUGAAUAACUCCUACUAUCUUAACAACAUUCUGAUGUUGCUUAGCCACAUAGGUCCUGGUUUUCAUCUAUGAGAGGUUGGAGGAUAUUUAAUUUUAACAUUGCAGGGUCACAAUAAUCACAAAAAUAAUCACAAAAACUCAAUCUGCCCACAACUAACUUCAGUGGGAAUGAUAGUUCCCUCUCUUCUUGGACAGGAAUAGGCUAACGUGUUAACUGCCCAAAUAUACCACUGUAACACACUGUGUUGAGCUGACUUUGAGACUGGUAUAGAAAUGUCAGGUAGUGCAGGAUAUGGCAGCUUGGAUUUUCACUAAAUAGCUAUUCACAUAUGACACUGGUAUGAAGAGAACUGCCCUGUUUUCCUAUUAGUCCAUAAGCACAUUUAAUAUUCUACUCCUGACAUGCAGACUUGUAAAUAAUUCACAACUGAGGUACUUAGCAGAUUGCUUUCCUUUACAUAUACCUAUUUGAUCUCAAAACUCUUUGGGUGAGAUUUUAUUGGCUUGUCUACAGCCAUUAGAUGUCUACAGCUAUUGUCUACAGCCAUUGUCUACACUCCAUAACACCACAGGAAGUUUUCCAUAGUGAUCCGUUUUUUAAAAUCCCCAUAUUUGAAGGAGACAGAACAUGUGGUCAGUUCUAAGUAUCUUCUGAAAACUUAUUUACAUAAACUUUACAUGAUUUGUAAGGUUAAUUUUGUUCUUCCAUUUUACUCAUAGUCUGUAUGUAUGUGUGUUUACAGUAACAUGUAUGUAAAUGGCCCAGAGAUUUUAUCAUAGUAAGUGAUAAACAAGUAUUGUAAACAAAAUAAAAUAGAACAAAUAAUUUACUAUCCCAAACCACUUGAUGUUAUUUGCCUCAAGCUAAUGCCACAAUCCACCAACGUGUUGUUCUCAUGUUUGUUUGUUUCUAAUGUACCAUGAAACCGGCAGCCCAGGCAUACAACAAUACUUUUUAGGUCACACACGCAAGUCCAAACCACUGUAUUGACAUACUACAAAUACAUAAGGAUUUCUAUAGCCUUGUUUCAAGGGUACCGGAGGCCUAAGGAAACGGGUAACGCAUGAAAAUAACAGCAGAUGGACACAGUCCUAAGGUUAAUAAAGACUACAAAGUGUUGAUAAAUUGAAUUGAUGACCUGGAAAACAAGCUCAGAUCAAGCUGUUAGAUUAGCAGAAGGUUGCUGAAGGCGUGAAAGCUGCUAUAAUCAUGCUAUUAUUAUUUGUCAAAAUGGAUUAAUGGUGCCAUGGAUGAGAACUUCAAGAUGCUUUUUGUUUUCUUUUUCCUACCGAUCUGACACAGCCACUGUCCUGUAUCUCUGCCUUUAUUAUGUGCUGCAAGCAGCAUUUAUUCAACCAAGAGAGUCCGUCUAAGCUCUGGUUGCGCAGAAAUUAAUGGAUGGACACCACUGAGAUCAAGCUUGCAUCCAUAUGCAUGCAUGUGUCUAAACAAGGUAGAAAAGAAAUGGUAACAAUAAUGGUUGUUUUAUUAUUGUUCUUAUUAUUUCUUAUUAUUUCUUACCCGCCUCUCACUAUGUAUUGAGGCAGGAGACAAGAAGUAAAACUUUAUCAUCCAAUAGACACAUAAUACUUAAAAACACAAACAUCAGUUAAAAAUACACAAUUGCUUAAAAGAGUAUAACAUCAGUUUAAAAACUGUCAUCUUAAAAACAAUUUAUUCAUA
This 3279-nucleotide long non-coding RNA is filed under the name Anolis carolinensis (green anole). RNAcentral's name for it is "lncRNA (ENSACAG00000045494.1)". The record is from RNAcentral. Lineage: Eukaryota; Metazoa; Chordata; Lepidosauria; Squamata; Anolidae.